Molecule: transfer RNA, 71 nt
Filed under: Rhipicephalus sanguineus (brown dog tick)
Lineage: Eukaryota; Metazoa; Arthropoda; Arachnida; Ixodida; Ixodidae
Description: transfer RNA glycine (anticodon GCC)
Rfam family: tRNA
About the family: Transfer RNA (tRNA) molecules are approximately 80 nucleotides in length. Their secondary structure includes four short double-helical elements and three loops (D, anti-codon, and T loops).
Source: Rfam by way of RNAcentral
GCGUCGGUGGUUCAGUGGUAGACUACUCGCCUGCCACGCGGGUGGCCCAGGUUCGAUUCCCGGCCGACGCA